UUUAAAUGUAUAUAUAUUGACAAUAUCUCCAUGAGAGCAACUUCUAAUUGUGUAUUCAUUCUGGAAGGAGAUAAUACUACUAAUAAUAAUCAGAACGGAAAGGUGGACAAACCUAAAUAUACUUAUUGUGUACGAAAAGCGGACUUUUAAAGGUUCCUCUUGAAAGGAGAGUUGUUCCCAUAUUGCCAUAAGUUUCGGUAAGAUGUUUAUUGUUAGACUGAUAAUACAACAAAUCUAUGAUCGACAAAUUCAUUGUUCACAUAAUUUAUUCAUGAUUACACUUGCAAUUAUAUGUUAACAUAUGGUUAUAAUACUUUAGUCUUAAGGUAACGAGACUCGAUAUUUAAAUUAAAACUGUUAUCAAACUUCGGUAUGCCAUUGAAUCAAUUUAGAGCCGUAUCAAUCUAAAACUACGAGGUACACAUAAUAAAAUGUUGACCCAGGUCAGAUGAAUUUAUUAUCUAAGGGUUUUAGAAAUAGUACACAUACAAUGUAUGUAUACAAUCUUCAAUUGAUUGCACUAAACAUUUUGCACAACUGCGUAGCUCGCAGGUUUUUGGAAGAUGUUUUUAAUAUAAGAAAUAAUUCAUAGAAGCCAUAGAUUAUUGGAAAUUUACACAUUGCGUGGUCCGUUAUAUUCGAAUUUUAUCCUGAGCAAAUACGGUCAUUAAAAAACUGAAGCGUGGGUAUGCUGUAUGUGUGGCUGUUCUUUUUUACUCCCUGUUAGAUAAAGCUCAAAUAUCUUUAUAAAUAUGUAGCUUGCGUAGGUUAUUUCGAGAAUGCUAGAAAAAAAAACUUUUUAAUUCUUUAAAUUCUCAAACCCAACAUGUUUUUCUCGUAAGCUUCCGACAAAUCCAAAGUUGACAUUUUGUAACUAAGGAGCCGCCGUGUUGAAUUGCUGAAAUGAGUAAAUAUGUCAAUAAUGCAAUAAAAUAGAAAAUAAAACAAAACCUCCCUCAAAAAAUCAGUUUUAAUACAAUAUCAUACGAAUUCCAAUGGUUCACGUAACAGAAAACUUUCAAUUUUAGCACAAACUAUUAUACAAAGCAAUACACAUAGAUAAUUUCAAGAUAUUUAAGAUGUUUAAGGGAUACUAUACAGUCACAAUGACAGUCUAAAUACACAAAUCAAAAGAGCUAUUUUUAAUUCAUUUUUUAAGACUUUUUUAAUAAACACUAGGCGACAAUUCAGAAGCCUGUAAUUCAGUGGUUGUUGUUUGUUGCUGUUACAUACUAGCUUUUUCUUCAAUUUUCUCUCUCAUAAAAUAGGUCAUUAGCUGUCUCGUUUUAAUUGUUACAUAUUUGUCAUUUCGGAGCCAUGUAAAACUGACAAUGCGGUGUGAACUUUGUUCAUUGUUGAAGGCCAUACUUUGACCUUUUUUUAAAUUUUGUUGUCAUUUUGUUUCAAGAGAAGAGUUUUUUCAAUGAAAAUCAUACCUCAUCUUCUUUUUAUAAAUAUAUAUAAAUACAAGCUCCUAUAACAUUUUCCCAAAAUAAAGUACGAAACAGUGUAAGUUUGUUUACUGUUAGACAUACCCUUUAUUUUUCUUUUGAACUCGAGUAAUGUGAUAUACAUAUGUGUAAUUUCUGUACCAGUGUUUCAAAUUUAAGUUCAUAGUAAUUAUAUGUAUCGCACCUAAGUUUCAAAAUACCAUAAAGCUAUUCAAAUAAGUUCAAAUAAUAUAAUCAAAUGAUUUUUUUCCUUCACCUAGAAUCAAACAUGUAUCUGGAUUUUCGUUUUCCUUUUUCUGGUUCUUAAACAAUAAUAAUUUAACACACAUGUUCAUGACAGGGUGUUAAUGCUUGUGUAACUAAACAGUUUAGUCUCCAGCACAAGAUACAACUGAUGAUCGUGAAAGCUAAAACAAAAAUAAAAAGAAUGCAACCAUGAUUUGAAUAUACUUAUUCAAACAAACCAAUACUAAUUGGACCUUUGUUGAACGAUGAUUAACUUAAAUAUUAGUUUUGAAAAUAAUUGAUACUCAUAGAGGUUUGUCUUAAAAUUUCAUUAUGAAAAUUCGGGAUAAAUAAAUCUUGGGUUGGUUACCUUUAAGAAUAGGUUUUUUCAAAUGAUCGUUCAUUUUACUCGAAUUGUAUAUUAUACGAGGUCGUUAAAUUAACUCAUCACAGAUACCAGGAUAACAAACAUCCUUAAAAUGUUCAUGUUUAUAUGAAAGAAAUCCAAAACGAGUGCGUUCCAUGGUGCCAAAUUCUACGUCUUACAAUUUUGAUAUUGAUGCGAAAAACCUGGAUCAAUAUAUUGUAUAUCAAGUGGUAAUACAUAGUAAUAAUAGACAAACUUUAAUUCAACAAUAAAAUGAUUUGAAUGAAAGUAAUUUAUUUAAAAUUGUUAUCAUAUUGAACAUUAAUUUAUGAAGGUCAAGCACAAGCAAUUAACGUGUACAAAAAAAUGUUUAUAACGUUUUCAAUUUCUCUAACAACAGUUAACACAUUUAGUUCAGCCAGAGUGUCGAUAUAGGUUAUACACUAUUCACGUGGUCAAUCGUCUACUGACAUCAUGAGCAACCACAUGUGGAUUAAUUUGUUUAAUAAAUAAUCCGGAAAGGGUUUGAUUGGUACGGAUUAUAAAAGAAAUAAUAUUUGGUUACAUACGUACCACUUGACUUUAUAUCAUCAGAUGAAUUAACGAGACACUGGUAAACUCUUAAUCAUUGAUUAUUUGUCAUAUAUCUAUUAUCUUGUAGUGCUGUCAUAUAUGGCAUCAUCCUCUGAAAAUUGUGGUGUAUGUGAAAGACGAACCAUCGACAAACCAUUAAUAGUCUGGUGUACAGAAUGUGAUGAAGGACUAUGUGAAGAAUGUCACGAACACCACAGUUUAUCCAAAGGAACCAGAAACCAUAAAACAAUAUCAAUUACUGAAUACAAUAAAAUACCUAUUGAAGUACUUAGGUUCUCUCAAUUCUGUAACACACACAAAGACAAAUUUAUACUUUAUUGCAGAAAGCACGAAUGUCCCUGCUGCAGUAAAUGUAUAGUUGAAAACCAUACAGAAUGCCAUAAUAUCGACAAUUUUGAUGAUGUUAUUCAAAAUGUCAAAACUUCUAAGGGCUACUACGAGAUUGAGGAAACAUUGAUUGAAGUAACAGAAAAUUUACAGAAAAUCCGUCAACAACAACAAGCCAAUCUGUUGACUUUGAACGAAAAAAGAAAAGAAUUCAAAAAAGAAAUGAAAGAGACAAGAACAAUGAUUAUAAAACAUCUGGACAAGCUACACGACGAUCUUAUAAAAAACUAUGACGCUUUGGAAAAGAAUGAAAACAUGAAAAUUCGUCAAAUUUUGUCAUCAUUAGAAAUGCAUGGAAACGAAAUAGUUAAAUACCAGAAAAGCAUUGCAAACAUCAAACGAUAUGCAACUGACUUACAGCUUUUUCUUUCAAUUAAGCAAAUAGAAAAAGACGUAAUGAACAAAGACAAUAUUCUACAUUCACUAAUUCAAGGCGAGACUUUAAAUUAUCGUGCUUUAAACUAUAAAAUCAACACUGCUAUUCAGAAAAUCACUUUCGAUAUCAAAAGCUUUGGGGAAAUAUAUUUUGAAACUGAACAAUGCUAUAUUGUGCUUAGUAGAAAUAAGACAAAACAAGCUCAGAUACUGGUACCAGACGUAACAACAAGCUUACUUGAUAACAUAAAGCUGCAGAAAAGCAGACAGAUAGAUAUGCAAGGAACAAAUAUCUGUGGGUGUUGCAUACUACCGAAUGGUAAAUUGGCGUUUACUUACUUUUGUGACACGACGGUUAAAGUGUUCAAUAUUGACGGAUCAAAGGUCAAUGAGAUAAAAAUGCCAUCUAACGUUUACGAUAUAGUCUAUAUAAGGGCAGACAACACAUUAGCUGUUUCAUCUGGUACAUCAAGAAAACAGUGCGUUACUAUUCUAGAUCUCGAGAAGGAACAAAUUAAGAAAACAAUUUUACUAGAAUCGUCUAAUUUUGGUAUAUCACUUAGAAAAAAUAAAUUAGUCUGUUCCAAUAAGAAAAAAGGCAUACUAAUGAUAGAUCCAAAAGAUAGCACUACAACUACCAUAGUCCGAGCUAAAAUGCAGAACGACUGUUAUACGGCAACAUUUGAUAACAAAAUAUUCCACUCAAAUCCGACAACAAGUGCCGUUGAAUGUUUUAGCCUCCGAGGUAAACUUAAAUGGACAUUCAAAAAUAAAAGCGUUCUGAAAAAUCCCCGUGGUAUUGCUGUCGAUAAAGAUGGUAAUGUGUACGUGGCGGGGAUGAACUCUCAGAACGUUCUUAGUAUCUCUCCUGACGGAAAACAACAUAAGAUAGUAUUAGGGGCGAGUGAUGGUCUUAACAAUCCAUCUGCAUUGUGUUAUAGUAAAUCAAAGAAACAGUUGUUAGUUGCGAACUGUGAUUACGAUGCUCAUUUGUUUGAUUUUAUUUGAAACAUCAGCAUCAAAGUUUGUCUCCAUAAAGUUAUUUUACCAACUUCGAAUAACAAUUCAACUUAUACCACUUACAAAAUAAGUAAAUUUGAAA
RNAcentral lists this long non-coding RNA (4501 nucleotides) under Mytilus galloprovincialis (Mediterranean mussel). Lineage: Eukaryota; Metazoa; Mollusca; Bivalvia; Mytilida; Mytilidae. The record is from RNAcentral.